GCUUUAAAUGACCCAAUUAGUCGAGUGAUCAUAAAAUGAUAAUUUGUGGCAGAAAUACUUUUAACCCACGUUCAAAUCCAGACUCAAAACCAACAUGUUUGAAUCUACUUCUUCACUUUGUUUUCUGUCUAUUCUUUGCUGGCUUUUUAUUUUAUUUGACUUUAUUCUGUUAUUGUUAUGUACAGUGCCCUUGACUGACAUGAAAGGGGCUUCAAAUGAAACUGAUUAUUAUUACACCACCGUGUAGCCCAUCAGUUGUUAUUUUAAUCAGAAAUGGAGCGAUUUUAAAGCAUCUCUCUUUAAAUAAAACAAACCAAAAAAAACUUUUCUACAAAUAUUUAAGUUUUUAACAUUACAGUCCGAGACCAUGUGUCCAUGUUGCAGUUUUUUUUUUUAUUUAAUCCAAAGUAUAAAACAGUAAAUAACUGGCACACAAUGUCAACCAAAAGAAAUGAGAAAACUAAAGACAGCGCGUCGCCUUCCCCCUGCUGUGAUGUUUGUCUAACAUCCAGAACGUUCUCUCUAAGACCUCCACCUCUGACAUUUGCUCCCUCACUGCCGUCCUGUAGCUUAACUUAAGGUAGUUCUGACCUUCUGAGGCUGAAUUCAUGUCCUGAAGCUGCCUUCACCUGCACUGUCUGACAGUCUAGCCCUCCCAGGGGGGGCUGCGGCGCCCGUCCACGUCCGUCUCCACGUGGUACAGCAUGUCCGCCAGCGUGUGCUCGAUCACCGCCCCCCAGCCCAUGUCGCUAAUCUGGAGGGAGAAAAACGAACGGCGUUGAAGGAGGGGAGAACCGAGAGGGGCGGAGAGGUCGGGAGGUCCAGGAUCUCACCGGCUGGUACUUGACGUCCUUCGGGGCGAACUUGAAAUGUGGACCAAAGUUGACAGAAACCUAUAGAAGAAGCAGCGUCAGCUCAGUUGAGAGGACAGAAAGGUUAAAGGUCAGCGUGAGGUCAGACCGUGCAGCUCUUGUAGAGGGAGAUUGCGGGGUAGUAGAUCCCUUCAAACAGGUUUUCAAAGGCGACCCCUUGGCUCACUCCGUUCUUGUAGAAAAUCAUCUGAAACGCAGACGGAGGCGUGAACAGAGCCGGGUUCAUCAUCUGGACCUGCUCGCAGGAGCGCCGCUCACCUUGCUGGGGCUCGUGGCUUUCAGCGCCUUCUCUGCUUUGUCCACGUAGUCCUUCUCCUCAAAGUACAGGUAGCUCUUGAACUUAAUGAGCGCCUGAAACCAGAGUUCAGAAGAGUUCAGAGGAUCCAGGCGUGGUUCUGCUUCUGGAGGACGCGACGGCUACCUUGUCUUUGUAGGUGUCGGGCAGAGACCGGGCCGUCUCCGUGCCGUCCGGCAGCUCGAUGAAGAAGCCCAGCGUGUCGCCCUGGCCGUACCCCGACGAGUAGUGCUUCCCGAUGGACUGGUGGAACCGGGUGCCUUUUUUACUGCGCCACGAGUAGCUGAACUUGUCAUAACCCAGAGGAGCCUGGAGAUUACCUGGAAAGGAAAUGCAAAGCCCCGCCCACUGAGUUCAUCUCCUGUUAUUAGGGAAUACAGGCUGAGUACUGUGAUUACACUCAGUUGGUGUUCUUAA
RNAcentral lists this long non-coding RNA (1584 nucleotides) under Oryzias javanicus (javanese ricefish). RNAcentral's name for it is "lncRNA (ENSOJAG00000013185.1)". The record is from RNAcentral. Lineage: Eukaryota; Metazoa; Chordata; Actinopteri; Beloniformes; Adrianichthyidae.